GCCGGGCGCGGUGGCUCAAGCCUGUAAUCCCAGCACUUUGGGAGGCCGAGAUGGGAGGAUCACGAGGUCAGGAUAUCGAGACCAUCCUGGCUAAUACGGUGAAACCCCAUCUCUACUAAAAAUACAAAAAUUAGNNNNNNNNNNUUUCACCGUAUUAGCCAGGAUGGUCUCGAUAUCCUGACCUCGUGAUCCUCCCAUCUCGG
Molecule: non-coding RNA, 203 nt
Filed under: Chlorocebus sabaeus (green monkey)
Lineage: Eukaryota; Metazoa; Chordata; Mammalia; Primates; Cercopithecidae
Source: Rfam by way of RNAcentral